AUGCACUAGAUGGGGAACUAGCGAUGCCCUGUAACCUGCAAUCGCUGUAGCAGGGUCGAAUUCCCGGUGGAGGGUCUCUUUUGAUGAGGUCUGACUGCGACACGUGGUGUUGAAGAACGGGUCCUGCGCAAUAGGAAGCUAUGAAUCUGGUCAGGUCAGGAAUGAAGCAGCCAUAAGUAGUCCUUUCCUAUGUGCCGCAGGGCAGCCUGUUCGGAGCUAACGAUCGCGGUUCCGCUCAUUGGAUUAGAUUCAAAUCCGGGUGUGCUA
This 267-nucleotide signal recognition particle RNA is filed under the name Gallicola sp. RNAcentral's name for it is "signal recognition particle sRNA large type". It matches the Rfam family "Bacterial large signal recognition particle RNA". From Rfam's summary of the family: The signal recognition particle (SRP) is a universally conserved ribonucleoprotein involved in the co-translational targeting of proteins to membranes. Archaeal SRP consists of a 7S RNA and homologues of the eukaryotic SRP19 and SRP54 proteins. Lineage: Bacteria; Bacillati; Bacillota; Tissierellia; Tissierellales; Peptoniphilaceae. The record is from RNAcentral. RNAcentral also lists the same sequence under 1 other name.